This 397-nucleotide ribosomal RNA is filed under the name uncultured bacterium. Its description in RNAcentral is "partial 16S ribosomal RNA". It matches the Rfam family "Bacterial small subunit ribosomal RNA", at positions 523 to 918 of the family's 1533-position model. The record is from RNAcentral.
AUACGUAGGGGGCGAGCGUUGUCCGGAAUGAUUGGGCGUAAAGGGCGCGUAGGCGGCCCGGUAAGUCUGGAGUGAAAGUCCUGUUUUUAAGAUGGGAAUUGCUUUGGAUACUGUCGGGCUUGAGUGCAGGAGAGGUAAGUGGAAUUCCCAGUGUAGCGGUGAAAUGCGUAGAGAUUGGGAGGAACACCAGUGGCGAAGGCGACUUACUGGACUGUAACUGACGCUGAGGAGCGAAAGUGUGGGGAGCAAACAGGAUUAGAUACCCUGGUAGUCCACACGGUAAACGAUGAAUGCUAGGUGUAGGGGGUAUCGACCCCUUCUGUGCCGCAGUCAACACAAUAAGCAUUCCGCCUGGGGAGUACGGCCGCAAGGUUGAAACUUAAAUGAAUUGACGGGG